GCACCAGGUAGGGCCCCAGGGAGGAGACUGGGCUUGGUUCUGAUUUAACUCAUGAGAAAUACCAGGAAGUUCUGAGGAAGAUGAAAGAGGAAAAGGAGACGCUGCUUCUUGAAAAACAAAUAUCCAAAGCCCAGGAUGACUCCUCUCAAACAGUGAAACCGGGAUCAAUUUUGGCAGACACCACCCAAAGAAACAUGGCCAGUUUUUCCUAUUCCAAACCUGGGUUUUCCUCUAUCCCUUCCCUCUCCUAGCUUCUCUCUCUCUCUCUCUCUCUCUCUCUCUCUCUCUCUCUCUCUCUCUCUCCCUCCUCUUUAAUAAUCCUAUAAUUAGGAAAUAAUGAGGUUUAGUUCCUACCCCACACCAUGGAAGCUAGGAGGUGGCAGAGCCAGAAUUCAAACCCAGGCAUCCUGACUCCAGGGUCUCUGCUAUUCUGCCUCUCUGUGAACACACGAAAAGCCAUAGCUGUGAUUUUUCAUUGCUUCCCACAGGAGAGGACCACCAUUAAGAAACAGGAGAGAAGGUGUUGGUACAAGUAAGCGGAAGAAUCUUGCUUUUACCUAGCCUAGACCACAUUUCACUCUACACAUUACCUGAUAAGGGCCAAAAGAACAAGAAUAAACACAUCAUCCACUGAUCAGAAUACAUAAGGCAGCCCCAAAUUUCUCCCAACCAUUCUUACUUUUCUCAAUGCAGAAUUAUAACACCAGAGUUAAACAGCAGCUAUAAAUAGCUGGAGAAAUGUGUGGCUAUUUCUGAGAAAUUUGGGAUAAAGAUGUAGGUUGCAUUUAACUUUUAAUUUUCAUUCUUAUGAUCCUAGGUAUAGCACCUUUCCAUUUUUUCAAGUCCUGAGCUUGAUUACCUCUGUGAUAUUCCUUGUUGGGAAAAAAGUUCAGAGUGCAUUAAUUUUCUUAGUUAUCUUCAUGCUUAGAAAUUUUAGAAAAAAGAUCCUUAAACUCUCUGUGCCUUUGCUUUUUUAAUUUUUGAAACAAGAAUAUUGACCCUGAAGAGCUUCAAGUGGCACUUUAAUAAAAAGCCCCAUUCCCUACUUUCCCCUAUCAACUUUGCCUGAAGAAAGCAAUUCACCAGCCAUUUAUGACUGUGAGGUUUGCCUUUCACUGCUUGACCUCGGGCUGUCUUUUUUCUCAUGCAAAUAAUGAACAUCUCUUUGCAGGUAUUUCCAGUAUCUCACCUUCAUGGUCUUAGUCUUUAUUAGGUUGCUGGCUUAUGUGAUUUUCCACCUGCAGUACAUAAACCCAGAUCUUCUCGUGGAUGUCCUGCCCCUGGUGCUGAGCAGGGGCACCUUGGAGAGUCUGAGGAAGGUCUCACAUCCCUUCCUCACUCUAGCAGUGGAAGAAGCACUACCACACUAGUCUGGGGUGACCUGGGGGCAUCACCCCACACCUGAGUGGAGGUGACCGUGGCUGUGGCCCCAUGUUGGGGAUGGCCAGGAAGGAUGUGGAAGCCUUUGACUCAGAGCCGCUACUUGACAUCUGAGUUUUUCAUUUCAUUCUUUCCCUGCUUUCCCUCUGGAAUGUCUCUCUUUCAAAUAAAGAAUAUGUUUGACGAGA
RNAcentral lists this long non-coding RNA (1568 nucleotides) under Homo sapiens (human). RNAcentral describes it as "novel transcript". Lineage: Eukaryota; Metazoa; Chordata; Mammalia; Primates; Hominidae. The record is from RNAcentral.